UGUAGCUCAGUGGUAGAGUACAUGCUUAGCAUACUUGAGGCUCUGGGUUCAAUCCCCAGCA
This 61-nucleotide transfer RNA is filed under the name Marmota marmota marmota (Alpine marmot). It matches the Rfam family "tRNA", at positions 6 to 65 of the family's 71-position model. From Rfam's summary of the family: Transfer RNA (tRNA) molecules are approximately 80 nucleotides in length. Their secondary structure includes four short double-helical elements and three loops (D, anti-codon, and T loops). Lineage: Eukaryota; Metazoa; Chordata; Mammalia; Rodentia; Sciuridae. RNAcentral also lists the same sequence under 3 other names. The record is from Rfam by way of RNAcentral.